Molecule: unclassified non-coding RNA, 1019 nt
Filed under: uncultured fungus
Lineage: Eukaryota; Fungi
Description: sequence contains 18S rRNA gene, ITS1, 5.8S rRNA gene, ITS2, 28S rRNA gene
Source: RNAcentral
GCAAGCAGCCAAUCGGCGACGACCAUGCGCCCGUCGUGUGGUUCGGCCUGUGUCGCGCCCACGUCGUGGACGUGCAGGGCUCGCAGAGGCGCGUAUACGCCGAGAUCCUCGCAGCGGCAGAGACGGUGGUCGUGCAUUGAUGCCCAACGAGCCACAAGGUACGCCCCCAGCAGCAGCUCGGGCUCCCCGCAUCGUCAUGGUCGGCGGCAAGCUGACCGAGAUCGUGGACCAAGCUGAAGCCGCCUUGUUGACGAGCGGCAUUCCCAUCUACCAGCGCGGCGGGAUUCUCACGCGUCCAAUCCGACUCGACACGAGAGUCGGCGAGGCAGGCAACGUCCGACGUGAGGCCGGUUCGACGGUGCUCAUCGCGGUACGAGAGGCGUGGCUGCUCGAACAGAUGGGCCGCGCAAUCAAUUGGGUGCGGCCGACCAAGAAGGCCGGAAGCCCUGACAAGCUCCAACUCCGUCCGGCCGACCCAGAGCCCAUCUACGCACGCACGCUGCUGAGCCGAGGAGAGUGGCGGUUUCCAGUUCUCUUGGGCGUCGUCACAGCGCCGACCCUUGCGCGUGACGGACGAAUCAUCGAGACGCCUGGAUUCGACGUUCAGAGCGGGCUGCUCGUCGACAUUCGGUCGAACACGUUUCCGCCAGUGCCAGCCUCGCCGACGCGAGAGGACGCCGUGGCCGCACUCAAGCGACUUGCGCAGCCGCUGCGCGGCUUCCCGUUCGUGGACGACGCCGCCAGGUCCGUCGCCAUCUCCAUGCUGCUCACGGCACUCGUGCGCCCGAGCCUGCGGACGGCUCCGCUCCACGCUGCCGAUUCGCCCGCCGCAGGCACCGGCAAGUCGAUGCUCGCGGAGUCGCCUGGCUUGCUCGCAAGCGGGGUGCGGCCACCAGCGUUGAGUCAGGGUAAGAGGGCGGAAGAAGACGAAAAGCGACUGUCGACGGUGCUGUUCGCUGGCGACGCCGUGAUUCACCUCGACAACUGCGAGCGGCCCCUGUCCGGCGACUUUCUCUGCU